UGCAAGUCUACGAGAAAUCUCGCUUCGGCGGGAGAGUAAAGUGGCGAACGGGUGAGUAACGCGUAGGUAACUUGCCCUUGGGUCUGGGAUAACCUUCCGAAAGGAUGGCUAAUACCGGAUGAUGCAGCGGCUCCGCAUGGAGAUUUGUUGUUAAAGUGGCCUCGACUUGUCGUGGUCACGCCCAGGGAUGGACCUGCGUCCCAUUAGCUAGUUGGCGGGGUAACGGCCCACCAAGGCAUCGAUGGGUAGCCGGCCUGAGAGGGUGACCGGCCACACUGGGACUGAGAUACGGCCCAGACUCCUACGGGAGGCAGCAGUGAGGAAUAUUGGGCAAUGGGCGAAAGCCUGACCCAGCAACGCCGCGUGGGGGAUGAAGCUCUAAGGAGUGUAAACCCCUGUUAGAAGGGAAGAAUGGUUUCGAUGCGAAUAGUUUCGAGAUUUGACGGUACCUUCAGAGAAAGCCCCGGCUAACUCCGUGCCAGCAGCCGCGGUAAUACGGGGGGGGCAAGCGUUGUCCGGAAUCAUUGGGCGUAAAGGGCGAGUAGGCGGGACGGUAAGUCAAAGGUGAAAGUUCGGAGCUUAACUCCGAAUCUGCCUUUGAUACUGCUGUCCUUGAGUAUGAGAGAGGGGAGUGGAAUUCCCGGUGUAGCGGUGAAAUGCGUAGAUAUCGGGAAGAACACCAGUUGCGAAGGCGGCUCCCUGGCUCAUUACUGACGCUGAAUCGCGAAAGCGUGGGGAGCAAACAGGAUUAGAUACCCUGUUAGUCCACGCUGUAAACGAUGGGCACUAG
Molecule: ribosomal RNA, 790 nt
Filed under: uncultured marine bacterium
Lineage: Bacteria
Description: bacterial SSU rRNA
Rfam family: Bacterial small subunit ribosomal RNA
Source: RNAcentral